This 87-nucleotide microRNA precursor is filed under the name Mesocricetus auratus (golden hamster). Its description in RNAcentral is "miRNA (ENSMAUG00000004583.1)". The record is from RNAcentral. Lineage: Eukaryota; Metazoa; Chordata; Mammalia; Rodentia; Cricetidae.
UUGGUUGUUUGUUUUGUUGUAUAUAGAUAUUAUUAGGGCUGGAGAGAUGGCUCAGCCGUUAAAGGCUAGGCUCACAACCAAAAUAGA